AGCGCCCUUGAACAAGGCCGAAGGACCACCUGCGUGAAAGAGGAGACCCUCUCUGUUAUGUCUCUGCUAGGGAAUGAAAUAACAUGGAAUCCAGCUCUGCAAAUAACUCACAGUGGAGAUCAUUUUCCACAUGCUGCUUGACAAAAGGUUAAGAGGGGUUUGAGGAACCUGAUCCCAGAUCUGAUGAUCAUGUGUGAGCCAACAGGAGAAGCAGGACCUUGUCUUCUUCUAAACUGCGCAUCCAUCACAGGAAAAACAGGCAGCAACUGAUUCUGAUAGCCAGUACAAGGAUUGAAAAUAUGAAAAGCAACUGUGCCGCAGUCACUCAGGACUCCCCAUCCGUUUUUUCUGAGACGAAUCCUCCUUUCAUCCUCCUCAGCAGCGAGGGCCCUGGUGUCUUUUCGCACAAAGCCUGACCAUCAGUGACUCCUCGUCAACCCCUUGGUCCAAUUCAUCAAGCAGAGGCCCAUGGGCAUUCAUCACCCCCACCACCUUUCAUAUCCAGCACCAGCUGAAAGCCACCGUCCCUCCUCUGACUUCAAUGCAGCCAUGACACACCCAUAAGAUUUAUAGUGGCAUAAUUAGUAGCAGUGAGAAAGGCCUGCAUGCUUUAGAAGGUCCAUCAUGGCGUAUUCCACUCUGAGGGACUCUCAAAGCCUUUAACAUCUGCUUCAAAAUAGAUUGCACCACCACCACAAAAGUUGAUAAAUUAACCCCAAACAAGAAGUCAAGAAAUUCAUCAAAGCCUGACAGUGACAUCAAAACAAUCACAUGUUUAAAGACACUAUUUGUCACCAUUCACUGGGAGCAAGAUGCUGUCAUAAAUCCCAUUUCUCUACAGGGAAGCAGCGGCAGCCUGCGAUGAGCAGCUCUGAGGUGAGAACUCCCCCUCAGGAAGGGGGUUUCUGAAAACAGCUCGAAGGAGGUCUAAAAUAACACACUUAAUAGUUAAAUGGUGUUAUUGAUGUAAUCACGCCCUCCUUCCCCUCCCACACAACCCGCUGUCACUGAUAUCUCAGGAACAGUGAACUAAUUAAAACACUCCUGGAGUUUGUUUUCA
Long non-coding RNA from Melanotaenia boesemani (Boeseman's rainbowfish), 1060 nucleotides. RefSeq lists it as uncharacterized. Lineage: Eukaryota; Metazoa; Chordata; Actinopteri; Atheriniformes; Melanotaeniidae. The transcript has 3 exons. The record is from RefSeq and is a predicted model, not a curated record.